CCUACGGGUGGCAGCAGUGAGGAAUAGUGGUCAAUGGGCGCGAGCCUGAACCAGCCAAGUCGCGUGAGGGAAGACGGUCCUAUGGAUUGUAAACCUCUUUUGUCGGGGAGAAAAAGACGCCACGCGUGGAGUUCCGAGAGUACCCGAAGAAAAAGCAUGGCUUAACUCCGUGCCAGCAGCGGCGGUAAUACGGAGGAUGCGAGGGUUAUCCGGAUUUAGUGGGUUUAAAGGGUGCGCAGGCGGAAGAGCAAGGCAGCGGUAAAAUUGAGAGGCUCACCCUCUGCGAGCCGUUGAACCUGGUUUUCUUGCGUGCGUGAGAAGUAUGCGGACUGCGUGGUGUAGCGGU
RNAcentral lists this ribosomal RNA (346 nucleotides) under uncultured bacterium. Its description in RNAcentral is "partial 16S ribosomal RNA". It matches the Rfam family "Bacterial small subunit ribosomal RNA", at positions 338 to 682 of the family's 1533-position model. The record is from RNAcentral.